Long non-coding RNA from Bos taurus (domestic cattle), 645 nucleotides. NCBI's taxonomy places the organism in Eukaryota, Metazoa, Chordata, Mammalia, Artiodactyla, Bovidae. The record is from Ensembl.
GUUAGGAUCUGCUGCUAACUGACGAAGGGCAGCAGCAAUUUUUACGCUUUUUCCUGGCAUUGGCACCUCUAGCUCCCAGGGGCUCAGUAAACGUUUGCUGAUUGACUUGUUGAUUGAGUCAUCCCUUUGUAUUGAAGGACAGCACCGGAGGGACGGGGCCGUGGACCUCCCAUCCCAUCCGGUCUCAUCCCAGAGUCUCGCCUAGACUUGAAGAAGGACACAGUGAGAGGCACGGACCCCCAAGAAGCAAGUCCAUCAUCCUUUCUGAUCCAAGAUGAAGGAUACAGCUGCCUUCUUUACUGAAGCCUUUCUGUGGGGAUGCUGGCUUAGGAGGACCCUGGCGGUUGAGGACUGGUGAGAGCCCUGGAUGUUCAAAGCGCCGCGGGACAGUCCUAGGACCAAGGUCGAGACAGAGCGACGGGGCUCUCGGCGCAGCGAGCCCUCAGGCGUCUGCUGCAAUGGACUCGAGUCUGGCCUGGGGCCCUGCCAGACCCACGGCAGAUGUCAGGAGCUGCUCUCUGGGCUGGGAGCUGGCCCCCAGGAGAAGGGCUGACACGGGAGAGUUAGUGGGAUUAUUCAGAUGACGGGGCUCCCGGGGAAGGAAGGAGGAAAGGAAGGAGCGUGAGGCCGGGAUGAGGUGGGGAG